Molecule: ribosomal RNA, 506 nt
Filed under: uncultured bacterium
Lineage: Bacteria
Description: partial 16S ribosomal RNA
Rfam family: Bacterial small subunit ribosomal RNA
Source: RNAcentral
AUUGAACGCUGGCGGCAGGCCUAACACAUGCAAGUCGAACGGUAACAGGAAGCAGCUUGCUGCUUCGCUGACGAGUGGCGGACGGAUGAGUAAUGUCUGGGAAACUGCCUGAUGGAGGGGGAUAACUACUGGAAACGGUAGCUAAUACCGCAUAAUGUCGCAAGACCAAAGAGGGGGGCCUUCGGGCCUCUUGCCAUCGGAUGUGCCCAGAUGGGAUUAGCUAGUAGGUGGGGUAACGGCUCACCUAGGCGACGAUCCCUAGCUGGUCUGAGAGGAUGACCAGCCACACUGGAACUGAGACACGGUCCAGACUCCUACGGGAGGCAGCAGUGGGGAAUAUUGCACAAUGGGCGCAAGCCUGAUGCAGCCAUGCCGCGUGUAUGAAGAAGGCCUUCGGGUUGUAAAGUACUUUCAGCGGGGAGGAAGGCGAUAAGGUUAAUAACCUUGUCGAUUGACGUUAUCCGCAGAAGAAGCACCGGCUAACUCCGUGCCAGCAGCCGCCGUAA